CAGUCGCCGCGGGAAUACAGAGGGUGCGAGCGUUAAUCGGAUUUACUGGGCGUAAAGCGUGCGUAGGCGGCUUCUUAAGUCUGAUGUGAAAUCCCUGGGCUUAACUUAGGAAUUGCAGUCGAUACUGGGAAACUAGAGUAUGGUAGAGGAUAGUAGAAUUCCAGGUGUAGCAGUGAAAUGCGUAGAGAUCUGGAGGAAUACCGAUGGCGAAGGCAGCUAUCUGGCCUAAUACUGACGCUGAGGUACGAAAGCAUGGGGAGCAAACAGGAUUAGAUACCCCCGUAGUCCCUGUCUCUUAUAA
RNAcentral lists this ribosomal RNA (301 nucleotides) under uncultured bacterium. Its description in RNAcentral is "partial 16S ribosomal RNA". It matches the Rfam family "Bacterial small subunit ribosomal RNA", at positions 509 to 809 of the family's 1533-position model. The record is from RNAcentral.